RNAcentral lists this ribosomal RNA (630 nucleotides) under Lactobacillus sp. oral taxon 461. RNAcentral describes it as "bacterial SSU rRNA". It matches the Rfam family "Bacterial small subunit ribosomal RNA", at positions 370 to 991 of the family's 1533-position model. Lineage: Bacteria; Bacillati; Bacillota; Bacilli; Lactobacillales; Lactobacillaceae. The record is from RNAcentral.
AAUGGACGCAAGUCUGAUGGAGCAACGCCGCGUGAGUGAAGAAGGUUUUCGGAUCGUAAAGCUCUGUUGUUGGUGAAGAAGGAUAGAGGUAGUAACUGGCCUUUAUUUGACGGUAAUCAACCAGAAAGUCACGGCUAACUACGUGCCAGCAGCCGCGGUAAUACGUAGGUGGCAAGCGUUGUCCGGAUUUAUUGGGCGUAAAGCGAGCGCAGGCGGAAAAAUAAGUCUAAUGUGAAAGCCCUCGGCUUAACCGAGGAAUUGCAUCGGAAACUGUUUUUCUUGAGUGCAGAAGAGGAGAGUGGAACUCCAUGUGUAGCGGUGGAAUGCGUAGAUAUAUGGAAGAACACCAGUGGCGAAGGCGGCUCUCUGGUCUGCAACUGACGCUGAGGCUCGAAAGCAUGGGUAGCGAACAGGAUUAGAUACCCUGGUAGUCCAUGCCGUAAACGAUGAGUGCUAAGUGUUGGGAGGUUUCCGCCUCUCAGUGCUGCAGCUAACGCAUUAAGCACUCCGCCUGGGGAGUACGACCGCAAGGUUGAAACUCAAAGGAAUUGACGGGGGCCCGCACAAGCGGUGGAGCAUGUGGUUUAAUUCGAAGCAACGCGAAGAACCUUACCAGGUCUUGACAUCUAG